UACAGAGGGUGCGAGCGUUGUCCGGAAUCACUGGGCGUAAAGGGCGCGUAGGCGGCUUGAUAAGUAGGGGGUGAAAUCCUGUGGCUUAACUGCAGGGCUGCCUCCUAGACUGUCUGGCUCGAGCACGGUAGAGGCAGAUGGAAUUCCCGGUGUAGCGGUGGAAUGCGUAGAGAUCGGGAAGAACAUCGGUGGCGAAGGCGGUCUGCUGGGCCGGCACUGACGCUGAGGAGCGAAAGCGUGGGGAGCGAACAGG
Molecule: ribosomal RNA, 253 nt
Filed under: uncultured bacterium
Lineage: Bacteria
Description: partial 16S ribosomal RNA
Rfam family: Bacterial small subunit ribosomal RNA
Source: RNAcentral